UUUCUCUCUCUCUCUCCAUCAUCUUUUUAUACUUAGUGAUUUUUUCUUUCAAUUUUUUCAGUGAAUCAGCCAUGAUUCCACCUUCUCCGAUGUGAUUGCUUUCUCUUCUUCGGUAUUUUUCCAUCUAGAGUUUGUUUUAAUUGUUGUUGUGAAGAUUGUGGUUGAUAUUUGAGUUCCAUUUGACAAAUUUUGGCUUGGUUUGGAUCGAACAAGUAAAAAAUUCGCAAAUUCAAGGUUAGUUCUCUGGUAUUCACAUAUGUUAGUUGAAUGGUUCAAUCUUUAUUGUCAAACCUAAUUACUUCGUGACAUAUUUGAAAAUAAUCUUGAUUACCUCAAUUGUAUAAGAAAAAAGUGACAAUCUUUCUUAAAAUCCAUUAGUACUUGUAAAUGCAAAGAGCUAGCUUCUAAAGCAAUAAAAAUAAUAGAUUGGUAGCUUAAGUCAAUGGAAAUUAAAUGCAUCCUAUACUAAGGCUAGAAGCACCACACUUUAGUCUUUUUGUUUUCAUUUCUUAAAAAAUAUUAACGAUGUGUAAAUGGACUUUAUGAAUAUAUAACAAGCUAUUCAAGUUUAAUUGGUAUAGUCAAAGACUUAUAUUUUAAAAUAAGGAUUAAUGUGAGAGUUCGAGUGUUAGAUGAUUUUAAUUUAGAAGAAUAUGACGUAUUAAUUAAAGUGCUUUGCGAUAAUGAUAAGUAUAUUUAAAAAGGAACCUUUGAAAGAAUAUAACUUUUUAAUUAGUUUAAAUAAACUAAAUUAUUUUAAAUAUCUCAAUUCUAAUUUUCUGUUUGUGUUAGAGAAUUGUAAUUUAGAUAUAAUAUAUUAGUUAAAGUAUGUUGGCAAAUAAUAAAUACAUUUAAAAAAGGAACCUUCGAAUUGGCGUAAUCUAUUAAUUACUUCAAAUAAACUAAAUAACUUUAAAUAUCUCACUUUUUUUUUUGUUUGUGUAAAUUAAAAUUGGGUAUCAUAGAUGGAUGCAUAAUGGGAAUCAUCUGAAUCGUAUCGGGUUGCGGGAUGGAUCUAUAGAAGGGGUUGCUAGCUUUAUUGCUAAGGAAAAGACACUUGAUGAUUUUCUUAUUGAAAGGAUGAUUAGGUGCUCUUGUGUGAAAUACAAGUGUCUUAAGUUAUUGGACCCGAUAUUGUUACUGUUCAUUUGUAUAAGAAGGGGUUUAUGAAACAUUAUUAUGUAUGGACUAUGCAUGGAGAGAGUCAUGCUAGUGUAGAUGAUGUUCAAUUUUAGAAAACAUCUAGCGGUGAAGAAGGUAGUCCCAUAACGGAGAAUAUUAAUGUUGAAAAUUCUAUAUUUAAUAAAAUUAUGAGGGAUGCUUUUGAGAUGUUCCCUAGGGCUCAAUCCGAAACAAAUGAUGCGGCUAAGAGUUUCUUCAAACAGUUAGAGGAAGCUAGUUAUCCGCUUUAUGAAAGAGCAACGCAUUCCAAGUUGUUUGUUGCAGUUACAUUACAAAGUUUUAAAUCGGAUAACUCUAUUUCUCAAGCAGGCAUGUAUUAUAUCAUUGACCUUACGAAUAAACUUAAUCCGACCAAGAUUGACUUGCCCAAAGAUUUUUACACGGCAAAGAAAUUGAUUUCCAAUUUGAGUAUUUUAUCGGAGAGGAUUGAUUGUUGUGAGAAAGGUUGCAUGUUAUCCUAUAAAGAUGAUGCAGGUUUAGAAAAUUGCAAAUUUUGUAACCAGCCGCAUUACAAAGAAGUCACAAAUGCUAAAAAUAAGAAGGUUCCAGUGAAGGCUAUACACUACUUGCCCUUUAUACCAAGGUUAAAGAGUUGUAUGCACUAAUGAGUUUCGCUCCUCAUAUGAGAUGGCAUUACUAACAUAGAAGGCCAGAUGGUGUGAUAUGUCAUCCGUCAAAUGGAGAAGCAUGGAGGCAUUUUGAUAGAGUGUUUCGAGACUUUGCCGGAGAACCGAGAAAUAUUAGCCUGUGAUUAUGUGCUGAUAGAUUCACUCCAUUUGUAGUGUUUGCUGCACCAUAUUCAGGUGGUCCUGUGUUUGUCACGUCGUAUAAUUCGCUGCCUGAAUUGUGCAUGAAAAGUCAAUAUUUAUUUCUAACUUGCAUUUUUCCAAUUCCACGCAAUCCAAAAAAAUUGAUUGAUGUAUACAUGCAUCCCCUAAUUGAUGAGUUAAAGUUAUUAUGGCA
Molecule: long non-coding RNA, 2145 nt
Organism: Nicotiana tabacum (common tobacco)
Lineage: Eukaryota; Viridiplantae; Streptophyta; Magnoliopsida; Solanales; Solanaceae
Source: RefSeq, a predicted model, not a curated record